RNAcentral lists this transfer RNA (85 nucleotides) under Felis catus (domestic cat). It matches the Rfam family "tRNA". From Rfam's summary of the family: Transfer RNA (tRNA) molecules are approximately 80 nucleotides in length. Their secondary structure includes four short double-helical elements and three loops (D, anti-codon, and T loops). Lineage: Eukaryota; Metazoa; Chordata; Mammalia; Carnivora; Felidae. The record is from Rfam by way of RNAcentral. RNAcentral also lists the same sequence under 3 other names.
ACCUGGGUGGCUUAGUCAGUUGAGUGUCUGACUUCAGCUCAGGUCGUGAUCUCGUGGUUUGUGAGUUCAAGUCUCACAUCAGGCU